GUCUUGAGAGAAAUCCGUGUCCAUUUUGCUUGCGGUCUUUUUGCUCCUUGUUGGUUUCGAAGGUCGGGAGUUGGUCGAGUGUCAGAGGAAUGAAGCCCCGCCCACUGCAGGUCCAGCAAGUCAACCAGCAAAACCCAUCUGGGAUCAUCUGUUGUGCCUACGAGGAGUAAAUCAAAAAGUGAGCGUGAUA
Long non-coding RNA from Hippocampus comes (tiger tail seahorse), 190 nucleotides. RefSeq lists it as uncharacterized. NCBI's taxonomy places the organism in Eukaryota, Metazoa, Chordata, Actinopteri, Syngnathiformes, Syngnathidae. The transcript is spliced from 2 exons. The record is from RefSeq and is a predicted model, not a curated record.